RNAcentral lists this long non-coding RNA (1344 nucleotides) under Homo sapiens (human). RNAcentral's name for it is "HSALNT0348490". The record is from RNAcentral. Lineage: Eukaryota; Metazoa; Chordata; Mammalia; Primates; Hominidae.
CCUUUUCCAGCGCGGCGGAGGGCGCCCCCUAGAACGCAGAGGGGGGGCAGAGGGAAGUGAGAUGGGGACUACGGGGUCUCCAGUGGUUCAAACCCUGUCGUUCCUCCGCGUUACAGAGCUACAGCGGUCUCCGGGUGGCGAAGUGCGGAGACGGGGUUUUGGAGACGGUGGAUGGAGGAGGGGGAGGGAAAGCUGCCAACUUUGGAUACCAACCCCGUACACCCACCGAAGGGGAUGUCCCACUUUUUCCAGCGCUGGGAGCAAAAAGAUAACAGUGAGCGAGGUUGAAAACACCUGACAGUGAAAAGAGCAAUUUGAAGAAAAACAAAAUUUAUCUUCAAUGUGAAAAGCAAUUUAUAAAAAUCCGAAUACUUGCCAGGAGCAACUUGACAAAAAAGACAAAGGUGGUAGAAGAAAUGUAACCAGCCCACAAUUCCAAUGUUGAUAACAGAUGAGCUCCCUUUCAAGGUGACUGACAUUUACACAAGUACACAGAGCAAGAAGAAGGUCUGAGUGAACUGCCAAGCAUUUUAACUUCUCCUGAGACCAAGUACAUCAACAGUUCUCUUGGAAAAGAACAACUGAUUUGGGAGUCUAGCAGACUGCCAGCUGCAAGACAUUCAUCCAGCAUCAGGAACACAAUGGGCCUUCAUUUGCCUGCCUUUCUGAGGGCACCAAUCAAAAGUAACAGCUGCCACCUUUUUCUAUGAGACUUGAUUAUAAUUUUCUAUGGCCAAGGGUUUGCUGUGACACUUCCACAUCAUUCUUCAGUAUGUAGUCCAGAGAUUAGCUACAGAUUCAAGAAACACAGACUGUAAACUAUUAUAUACAGACAUAUCUCAAAAUAAGCAUACCCAUUAGUGCCAGCUGCCCUGAAAGACUGAAUGACCCCAGCUAUUUUCCAAAUGUUUUUUCAGAAAGCCAUGAACACACCUUUCUGGGAUCCUAUCUAUUUCAAAGACAGGCAAAGCUCUGUGGUUCAGUUCCACCACCCAGUACCAAGCCCACAGUAUGCAGACCAUACGCCUUACACAUGGCCUUUUCUCUUUAUGUAAUUGCUGUACCAUAUUCAGCAGAUCUAGACUGACUCAAAGCAUGUUCCCUCAAGAAGCUCCACAGAAAAAAAGGUUUCUGUGAUCAAAAAUCAUUUGGGAAAUGCUGCAAACCCUAUCUGCCUCUUAGAGCUUAACCAUGCAUGUCGGGGCAUAAUAUAAACCUUUUCCAGUCUGGGCCACAGAGUGAGACCCCACCUCUAAAAUAAUAAAUCAAUAAACUCUUGAGAAGUACACAGAAAAGAAACUUCUGUAACUUUUUAGGUCUUAAUUACAAGCAAUUGUAGCUUAA